RNAcentral lists this ribosomal RNA (495 nucleotides) under uncultured bacterium. RNAcentral's name for it is "partial 16S ribosomal RNA". It matches the Rfam family "Bacterial small subunit ribosomal RNA", at positions 28 to 507 of the family's 1533-position model. The record is from RNAcentral.
GACGAACGCUGGCGGCGUGCCUAAUACAUGCAAGUAGAACGCUGAAGGAGGAGCUUGCUUCUCCGGAUGAGUUGCGAACGGGUGAGUAACGCGUAGGUAACCUGCCUGGUAGCGGGGGAUAACUAUUGGAAACGAUAGCUAGUACCGCAUAACAGUAGAUAUCGCAUGAUAUCUGCUUGAAAGGUGCAAUUGCAUCACUACCAGAUGGACCUGCGUUGUAUUAGCUAGUUGGUGAGGUAACGGCUCACCAAGGCGACGAUACAUAGCCGACCUGAGAGGGUGAUCGGCCACACUGGGACUGAGACACGGCCCAGACUCCUACGGGAGGCAGCAGUAGGGAAUCUUCGGCAAUGGACGGAAGUCUGACCGAGCAACGCCGCGUGAGUGAAGAAGGUUUUCGGAUCGUAAAGCUCGGUUGUAAGAGAAGAACGAGUGUGAGAGUGGAAAGUUCACACUGUGACGGUAUCUUACCAGAAAGGGACGGCUAACUACGUG